GCCUGGGUGGCUCAGUUGGAUAGGCAUCUGACUUCGGCUCAGGUCAUGAUCUCAUGGUUCGUGGGUUUGAGCCCCACCUCGGGCU
Molecule: transfer RNA, 85 nt
Filed under: Felis catus (domestic cat)
Lineage: Eukaryota; Metazoa; Chordata; Mammalia; Carnivora; Felidae
Also listed under: 3 other names
Rfam family: tRNA
About the family: Transfer RNA (tRNA) molecules are approximately 80 nucleotides in length. Their secondary structure includes four short double-helical elements and three loops (D, anti-codon, and T loops).
Source: Rfam by way of RNAcentral